AACGAACGCUGGCGGCAGGCCUAACACAUGCAAGUCGAGCGAACCCUUCGGGGUCAGCGGCGGACGGGUUAGUAACGCGUGGGAAUAUACCCUUUGGUACGGAAUAGCCUCGGGAAACUGAGAGUAAUACCGUAUGUGCCCUUCGGGGGAAGAUUUAUCGCCAAAGGAUUAGCCCGCGUUGGAUUAGAUAGUUGGUGGGGUAAUGGCCUACCAAGUCUACGAUCCAUAGCUGGUUUGAGAGGAUGAUCAGCAACACUGGGACUGAGACACGGCCCAGACUCCUACGGGAGGCAGCAGUGGGGAAUCUUAGACAAUGGGCGCAAGCCUGAUCUAGCCAUGCCGCGUGGACGAUGAAGGCCUUAGGGUUGUAAAGUCCUUUCAGAUGGGAAGAUAAUGACGGUACCAUCAGAAGAAGCCCCGGCUAACUCCGUGCCAGCAGCCGCGGUAAAGUCUGUACU
Molecule: ribosomal RNA, 458 nt
Filed under: uncultured bacterium
Lineage: Bacteria
Description: bacterial SSU rRNA
Rfam family: Bacterial small subunit ribosomal RNA
Source: RNAcentral